UCCCUGGAGAAAUAGUGGUUAGGCCACAGCGCUCUCACUGCUGUGGCCCGGGUUCGAUUCCUGGCCAGGGAG
This 72-nucleotide transfer RNA is filed under the name Pangasianodon gigas (Mekong giant catfish). RNAcentral's name for it is "tRNA-Glu". It matches the Rfam family "tRNA". From Rfam's summary of the family: Transfer RNA (tRNA) molecules are approximately 80 nucleotides in length. Their secondary structure includes four short double-helical elements and three loops (D, anti-codon, and T loops). Further hydrogen bonds mediate the characteristic L-shaped molecular structure. tRNAs have two regions of fundamental functional importance: the anti-codon, which is responsible for specific mRNA codon recognition, and the 3' end, to which the tRNAs corresponding amino acid is attached (by aminoacyl-tRNA synthetases). tRNAs cope with the degeneracy of the genetic code in two manners: having more than one tRNA (with a specific anti-codon) for a particular amino acid; and 'wobble' base-pairing, i.e. permitting non-standard base-pairing at the 3rd anti-codon position. Lineage: Eukaryota; Metazoa; Chordata; Actinopteri; Siluriformes; Pangasiidae. The record is from RNAcentral.